CAGCAGCCGCGGUAACACGGAGGGGGCUAGCGUUGUUCGGAAUUACUGGGCGUAAAGCGCACGUAGGCGGAUCGAUCAGUCAGGGGUGAAAUCCCAGAGCUCAACUCUGGAACUGCCUUUGAUACUGUCGAUCUGGGGUAUGGAAGAGGUGAGUGGAAUUCCGAGUGUAGAGGUGAAAUUCGUAGAUAUUCGGAGGAGCACCAGUGGCGAAGGCGGCUUACUGGUCCAUUACUGACGCUGAGGUGCGAAAGCGUGGGGAGCAAACAGGAUUAGAUACCCCUGUAGUCCCUGUCUCUUAUAC
RNAcentral lists this ribosomal RNA (301 nucleotides) under uncultured bacterium. RNAcentral describes it as "partial 16S ribosomal RNA". It matches the Rfam family "Bacterial small subunit ribosomal RNA", at positions 509 to 807 of the family's 1533-position model. The record is from RNAcentral.